CUGCGCGUGCUUACCAUGCAAGUUCGAACGAUGUAAGCCCUGCUUGCAGGGUGGAUUAGUGGCGCACGGGUGAGUAAUGAAUAGAUAAUCUGCCUUUUAGUGGGGGACAACAGUUGGAAACGACUGCUAAUACCCCAUACUCCUUUUGAACAUAAGUUCAAUCGGGAAAGUUUUUCGCUAAAAGAUGAGUCUAUUUCCCAUCAGCUAGUUGGUAAGGUAAGAGCUUACCAAGGCUAUGACGGGUAGCUGGUCUUAGAGGACGAUCAGCCACACUGGAACUGAGACACGGUCCAGACUCCUACGGGAGGCAGCAGUGGGGAAUAUUGCACAAUGGAGGAAACUCUGAUGCAGCAACGCCGCGUGGAGGAUGACGCAUUUCGGUGUGUAAACUCCUUUUAUUAAGGAAGAAAUUUGACGGUACUUAAUGAAUAANCACCGGCUAACUCCGUGCCAGCAGCCGCGGUAAUACGGAGGGUGCAAGCGUUACUCNNAAUUACUGGGCGUNNAGGACNCNUANGCNGCCUGNU
Molecule: ribosomal RNA, 527 nt
Filed under: uncultured bacterium
Lineage: Bacteria
Description: bacterial SSU rRNA
Rfam family: Bacterial small subunit ribosomal RNA
Source: RNAcentral